Molecule: ribosomal RNA, 684 nt
Filed under: uncultured bacterium
Lineage: Bacteria
Description: bacterial SSU rRNA
Rfam family: Bacterial small subunit ribosomal RNA
Source: RNAcentral
GCAGUCGAACGGUGAUAGCAAUAUCAUAGUGGCGCACGGGUGCGUAACACGUAUGCAACCUACCUAUUAUUGGGGGAUAGCCUUUGGAAACGGAGAUUAAUACCGCAUAAUACGAUUGACUGGCAUCGGUUGAUUGUUAAAGCUUUGGCGAUAAUAGAUGGGCAUGCGUCCAAUUAGUUAGUUGGUUAGGUAACGGCUGACCAAGACGAUGAUUGGUAGGGGAUCUGAGAGGAUAAUCCCCCACACUGGCACUGAGAUACGGGCCAGACUCCUACGGGAGGCAGCAGUAGGGAAUAUUGGGCAAUGGGCGGAAGCCUGACCCAGCCAUGCCGCGUGCAGGAAGAAGGCGUUAUGCGUUGUAAACUGCUUUUUUAUAGGAAGAAGGAUCCCUUGCGAGGGAAGGUGACGGUACUAUAAGAAUAAGCACCGGCUAACUCCGUGCCAGCAGCCGCGGUAAUACGGAGGGUGCAAGUGUUGUCCGGAUUUAUUGGGUUUAAAGAGUGCGUAGGCGGUUUAUUAAGUCAGUGGUGAAAGACGGUCGCUCAACGAUUGCAGUGCCAUUGAUACUGGUAGACUUGAGUGAGAUUGAGGUAGCUGGAAUGGAUAGUGUAGCGGUGAAAUGCAUAGAUAUUAUCCAGAACACCGAUUGCGAAGGCAGGUUACUAAGUCUUAACUGACGCUGAG